RNAcentral lists this ribosomal RNA (253 nucleotides) under uncultured bacterium. Its description in RNAcentral is "partial 16S ribosomal RNA". It matches the Rfam family "Bacterial small subunit ribosomal RNA", at positions 524 to 776 of the family's 1533-position model. The record is from RNAcentral.
UACGAAGGGGGCUAGCGUUGCUCGGAAUUACUGGGCGUAAAGCGCACGUAGGCGGCUCUUUAAGUCGGGGGUGAAAUCCUGGAGCUCAACUCCAGAACUGCCUUCGAUACUGUAGAGCUUGAGUUCGGGAGAGGUGAGUGGAACUGCGAGUGUAGAGGUGAAAUUCGUAGAUAUUCGCAAGAACACCAGUGGCGAAGGCGGCUCACUGGCCCGAUACUGACGCUGAGGCACGAAAGCGUGGGGAGCGAUCCGG